GGGCGAUUAGUUUAGUGGUAGAACAGCGGUCUCCAAAACCGCUGGCGGAAGUUCGAUUCUUCCAUCGCCCG
This 71-nucleotide transfer RNA is filed under the name Minisyncoccota bacterium. Its description in RNAcentral is "tRNA-Trp". It matches the Rfam family "tRNA". From Rfam's summary of the family: Transfer RNA (tRNA) molecules are approximately 80 nucleotides in length. Their secondary structure includes four short double-helical elements and three loops (D, anti-codon, and T loops). Further hydrogen bonds mediate the characteristic L-shaped molecular structure. tRNAs have two regions of fundamental functional importance: the anti-codon, which is responsible for specific mRNA codon recognition, and the 3' end, to which the tRNAs corresponding amino acid is attached (by aminoacyl-tRNA synthetases). tRNAs cope with the degeneracy of the genetic code in two manners: having more than one tRNA (with a specific anti-codon) for a particular amino acid; and 'wobble' base-pairing, i.e. permitting non-standard base-pairing at the 3rd anti-codon position. The record is from RNAcentral. Lineage: Bacteria; Bacillati; Minisyncoccota.